RNAcentral lists this ribosomal RNA (593 nucleotides) under uncultured Burkholderia sp. RNAcentral describes it as "partial 16S ribosomal RNA". It matches the Rfam family "Bacterial small subunit ribosomal RNA", at positions 417 to 1003 of the family's 1533-position model. Lineage: Bacteria; Pseudomonadati; Pseudomonadota; Betaproteobacteria; Burkholderiales; Burkholderiaceae. The record is from RNAcentral.
UGGGGUUAAAAAAGCAUUUUUGUCCGGAAAAAAAUCCUUCGGGGUUAAUCCCUCGGGGGGAUGACGGUACCGGAAGAAUAAGCACCGGCAACUACGUGCCAGCAGCCGCGGUAAUACGUAGGGUGCGAGCGUUAAUCGGAAUUACUGGGCGUAAAGCGUGCGCAGGCGGUUCGCUAAGACCGAUGUGAAAUCCCCGGGCUUAACCUGGGAACUGCAUUGGUGACUGGCGAGCUAGAGUGUGGCAGAGGGGGGUAGAAUUCCACGUGUAGCAGUGAAAUGCGUAGAGAUGUGGAGGAAUACCGAUGGCGAAGGCAGCCCCCUGGGCUAACACUGACGCUCAUGCACGAAAGCGUGGGGAGCAAACAGGAUUAGAUACCCUGGUAGUCCACGCCCUAAACGAUGUCAACUAGUUGUUGGGGAUUCAUUUCCUUAGUAACGUAGCUAACGCGUGAAGUUGACCGCCUGGGGAGUACGGUCGCAAGAUUAAAACUCAAAGGAAUUGACGGGGACCCGCACAAGCGGUGGAUGAUGUGGAUUAAUUCGAUGCAACGCGAAAAACCUUACCUACCCUUGACAUGGUCGGAAUCCUGCUG